UACGUAGGGGGCAAGCGUUACCCGGAUUCACUGGGCGUAAAGCGCGUGUAGGCGGCUGGCCAAGCGUGGUGUGAAAUCUCCGGGCUCAACCCGGAAACUGCACUGCGAACUGGCCUGGCUGGAGUGCAGGAGAGGGAUGCGGAAUUCACGGUGUAGCGGUGAAAUGCGUAGAUAUCGUGAGGAACACCAGUGGCGAAGGCGGCGACCUGGGCAGAUACUGACACUGAGGUGCGAAAGCGUGGGGAGCAAACAGG
Molecule: ribosomal RNA, 254 nt
Filed under: uncultured bacterium
Lineage: Bacteria
Description: partial 16S ribosomal RNA
Rfam family: Bacterial small subunit ribosomal RNA
Source: RNAcentral